GUGCCAGCAGCCUUCGGUAAUUCCAGCUCCAAUAGCGUAUAUUAAAGUUGUUGUGGUUAAAAAGCUCGUAGCUGAACCUUGGGCCUGGCUGGCCGGUCCGCCUCACCGCGUGCACUGGUCCGGCCGGGCCUUUCCCUCUGUGGAACCCCAUACCCUUCACUGGGCGUGGCGGGGAAACAGGACAUUUACUUUGAAAAAAUUAGAGUGCUCCAGGCAGGCCUAUGCUCGAAUACAUUAGCAUGGAAUAAUAAAAUAGGACGCGCGGUUCUAUUUUGUUGGUUUAUAGGACCGCCGUAAUGAUUAAUAGGGACAGUCGGGGGCAUCAGUAUUCAACUGUCAGAGGUGAAAUUCUUGGAUCAGUUGAAGACUAACUACUGCGAAAGCAUUUGCCAAGGAUGUUUUCAUUAAUCAGGAACGAAAGUUAGGGGAUCGAAGACGAUCAGAUACCGUCGUAGUCUUAACCAUAAACUAUGCCGACUAGGGAUCGGACGGUGUUAUUCAUGACCCGUUCGGGACCUUACGAGAAAUCAAAGUGCUUGGGCUUCCAGGGGGAGUAUGGUCGCAAGGCUGGAAACUUAAAGAAAUUGACGGAAGGGCAGCACCAGGGGUGGAGGCUUGCGGCUUAAAUUUGACUCAUCACCGGGAAACUUCACCAGGUCCAGACACAAUAACGAAUGACAGAUUGAGGAGCUCGUUCCUUGAUAUUGUGCGGUGGUGGGUGCAUGGACGGUCUUAGUUGAGGGCGGGGAGUUGUCUGCUUUACUAUGGGCAUAACAAAAGGAAG
RNAcentral lists this ribosomal RNA (784 nucleotides) under uncultured fungus. RNAcentral's name for it is "bacterial SSU rRNA". It matches the Rfam family "Eukaryotic small subunit ribosomal RNA", at positions 564 to 1345 of the family's 1831-position model. The record is from RNAcentral. Lineage: Eukaryota; Fungi.